This 239-nucleotide long non-coding RNA is filed under the name Hordeum vulgare. RNAcentral describes it as "long non-coding RNA (HVUL_LNC018589)". The record is from RNAcentral. Lineage: Eukaryota; Viridiplantae; Streptophyta; Magnoliopsida; Poales; Poaceae.
UUCAAGACCCAAGGCUUACCUGCACAGCCACAAGUCAUUAUGGGCUCUGGCUUGGUUAGACAACGCGGCGACUCUGGACAGGCGGUGCUAGCAGAUGUAGAAGAACGGUAGGAUUGGAUGGGCACUGACAAGGAUUCAGAGGGACCCGUUGAAAGACCAUGUUUUGAUCAUCCGGUCUUCAAACACCCUGAAGUGCGAGGACAUACUCGGAGGCGAUCAAAUCUCGUGGGGAACGUGUG